This 1079-nucleotide long non-coding RNA is filed under the name Homo sapiens (human). Its description in RNAcentral is "HSALNT0371857". The record is from RNAcentral. Lineage: Eukaryota; Metazoa; Chordata; Mammalia; Primates; Hominidae.
CAUGGGCCAGUGGCUGAGUCCCGGCUCCACGAGGAGAUGUUGGGAGAAGGCAGCACACAUUGAGGAGAAGCAAGGAGCACCACUCCUGAUGGUCCCCUCCAGAGCCCCAGGAAACUCUUGUUAGCAAUCUUAGAUUAAAUUCAGAGUUUCUGGAUCACGACAGGAAGCUGUGUCCAGCACGAAGGUGUCCUGUGAACAGGCUCAAUCACAAGCUCUGCAGAGACGGGAAGUGACAGAGGCCCCAGAAAGCCAGUUCCCGACAACGCCAAUACUGCACGUUUAUCAGCUGCGGCAAGAGCCGGCCAGAGGCGGUGGCAGCACCUCAAUGCCCUUGCCUCGUCUUCAAGAUUCUUCUGUUUGAUGUUGCGUCCUCACUGUUCCUCUGCUGAGGAGCUGUAGUGUGGCUCACAACUACGCGAUGACUCUCCAGAUUCAAAGACCACAUCUCACCCUCUCUAAAGCCCCAGGGGCCCAGCGCAGUGCCGAGUGCAGAAGGAUUGAUGAGCAUUUGCUGAGCCGGGUGCUAAUCCCAUGGGCAUUGUUUCCUCUGCCCUCAGUCUCCAGCCUGCAGACGCCUGAAUGGAUUCUGGAGAGGUGUGCGUUGGACUCUGAAGGUCCUCUGAGCCCAUCCAGGAUAAAGAUGCUCUCUCCCAGGCGUCUGCUCAGCCGCCGGCUAUCGGCAGGACAUUGCGCACCAGGUAUCUUCAAGCUGCUUCUGGCUGGAUUUAGGGCAUGAUGGAAACAUCAAAACAACUGUAGUUCUGCCACGGGGUCCCACAUCUGCUUAUCCUGGGACAGCCACGCAGUCCCCACCCAGGAAGCGGCAGCAGGUUUCAGCACCCUGGAGAGGGCCAGGCCCCUGUGGCUGGUCAAGCUCCUCAGUGUUAAGGGAGCAGCUCAGGAAGGCCCCGCCCAGGACGAUGAGGGGACCAGGAAUGAAGUCAGCAGGGAUGAGACAUGUGAGGACCAGUGAGAAGUACUCAUCUUUUACAAUGAAUGUCAACAGACUCUUACAAAUGAAUUCACCCCAGACUACACUGUCAGCUCCUGGGGACAGGUUUAAAUCGCCUUCUGUGUCU